Lytechinus variegatus (green sea urchin) is the source of this 4771-nucleotide long non-coding RNA. RefSeq lists it as uncharacterized. The transcript has 3 exons. NCBI's taxonomy places the organism in Eukaryota, Metazoa, Echinodermata, Echinoidea, Temnopleuroida, Toxopneustidae. The record is from RefSeq and is a predicted model, not a curated record.
CUACUCAGCGAUUAAAUUUUGUUUUGCUCUGACUUUCAUUGCUGGUUUUGGAAUACCUCGAAGUUGUGCCUAACAAACUGAAGUGUUAAUUUUUUUACAUAUUUUACACGCUUGCACUGAACCAAGUGACACUUAUAAUUAGGUUCAACGGUUUAUUCAGCUGUAAAGUUAAGAUGGGUAACUGUUUAUCAGGUGGAGAGCCUACACACAGAAGGAGUGGUGGUGGUGGGAAUGGUGGUGCUAAACAAACUAAGAUUCGUACACACAUGCUCUUUCCACCAAAGACAUCUUCUGGUGCCAGUCCAAGAUCAUCACCACAGUCACCAAGGAAACUCUGAUGGUGUUCUAGCAAAAUUUAAAGAUCUAAGCUUGCUGCUUGUAGCUAUAUGCUUCUACAGCUACUAUAGGAUACAUUGGAUAGAAGCAAAUUUACCAAUUACUUCAUCUGAAGAAUAAAAGAGGAAAAUUCAAUGUGGUAAGUCUGUAGCUCAUUGACAACAAGCAGUGGAAAUGUGUCAUCACCAUGGCAACAAUAAUUGAACAACUCAUGCGAAUAGUUUACACUCUUGGUCUUCAAUUCUGAUAUUACUCUGUUUAUAAGGAGUGUAUUCUUCAGGGAGUCGCUGUGGAGCAACCUAAAAGUCAUGAACAAAAACACAAAACAUACGGUAAUAAUGCAUAGAUUGAAAUAUGUACAUGCAUAUCUGGAGUGUACAGAAAUGUAAUGUAUCCCAUUAGUCAUUUUGUGUUUUAUUUGAAUUUAAAUGUUACGCAAAUAACUUAUGAUAAUUAAUGUUAGAAGAGUAGCUUCCAAUCUGUGUUUGUAGUAUAAUGUGCAUUAAAUUUAUUUGUUUUGUAUAUCAGAGCAAUAAUGAAUGGAAGGCAGCUUUAAAGAGAAACUAUGUCCUGUAAUUCUCCUUCAAAGCUUUCAAUUAUAGAUAAUAAUACAUGUAUAUAUCCUCUUCAUAAAUAACAAAGUCUGUUCCAAUAUAAUAGAUGAAUAACAUACAAAAUCUCCAGGGAUUUUUUCAGUGGUGAAGGUUGUUUUCUGAGAGCAGUCAGUAGUAGCUACAGGUUAGUGAGCAUGGUUGUAACUUGAAGCUUGUUAUUUCACAGCUUUGAAUACUCCAAACUCUGAGGCCAGAAUUCACAAAGGUGAUUUUGAAGACCAUCGGUUGAAACCAUGGUUUAUGCAGAGUUCCUGUAUAAAUUAUGCUCAAUUUUCGGCUUUAUUUCAGCGUAUUUUUAGCUUUCCUCCAUACAAAAGUACAUGUAUGAGAGCUUUUAAUUUCAGCUUUUUCCAACACAUUUCAGCUGUUUUGAAUUGAAAAAAAAGAUUGUUAUCCGGAAUAUUUAUUAAUCCAAAAACUAAAUAAGGCUUAUGGCUUAUCAUUCUGAAGAGUUGACAAAUAAAAAAUAAUGUAAGCUUUGUAUCUUUAGUUCAUUAAUUUGUUAUUUUGGCAGUAAUGUGCCUAAUUUUAUUUUUGUACUUAUUGUCAGUUGAUGGAUAUUAUGAGAGAGGCAGUGUGCUUUUUCGAAAAAAAAAAUUGAAAUGACCAAAAAAUUACCAUCCAUUUACGUUCCAUUGAAAAGUGUAAUAUUGGGAAAUUUAUGGAGAAUCAUUUGUAACAUAACAUAUCUUAUUCAUAAGAGUGUGGAAUAGUGUACAGGUUUAUAUUCAUCAAGUAAAGUAUAUAUUUCAAUAAUUUACCUUGUCCAUUGUAAGCUUGCUAUACCUUAAUUCUGAGAUAUUGUAAAAAAAAAAUAAUUGAAUGAAAUCCAGUAAUUAGAUUCAUGUGUAUUUUUAGGUUAUUUGUGAUUGUUCGUUUUACCUGUAACCUUUGAAAAUAGAAGUCUUUGGUUUAUAAUUUACCUAACAUUCCUAACACUAUUACAUAUUCUUGGACUUGACUUACAUGUAAUAAUUCUGACAAUUUCCUUCUACAGUAUGAAAUUCAAUUCGUAUUUGCAUUAACAUUCAUUGUGUGUAUAUGCAUACAUUCACUUCAUGUAUGAGAGUGGUUAAUACCUGUAAUGCUGUAAAGGGACAUUUUGGAUUAAUAUCAAACCUAUUAUUAUCUAAUCCAUUGGUGGUGUGUGCAUGCCUUGAUAUGUGAAGAAUAUUAUCCUAAAGGAGCUAAAUCCAUUUUAAUAAUAUUUACCUUAAUUCAUCACCUUCAUUAUACUAUCAUGGAAUUAAUAUCACAAUAGAUUUUGAAUUAUUAUUAAAUCAGAUGUACCUUUCAAACCCAUCAUUAUCUCUUUUUCAAAGAAACCGGACAAAACACUUACAAGCCUGGAUAAAAUCUAUAGGCUUUAAUAGGCUAUAGACUAGUUAUAUUUUUGAAAUCAUAAUUUCAAUUCAGACAUCUCAAAAAAGGGUAUUUUCCUUGAUGAGCCAUAUACCAAUAAGGGCUUAUUUAUCAUUCUCCGUCUCAAUGCGCUUGCUUAAAGUUCCUUUUCCCGGACAUAUCUGUUCUUAUUGUUGGAUGUGUCAUGUUUAUUUGAUGAGUAUUGUUUCAAAUCUUGAAUCAAAUAUUGUAGUGGUGACAAAGAAAAACUGAGAUCAAAUUGUGAAAAGGUGCACAAUUCUACAGAAAACAGAGAAAGAAAAACAUUCCUUCAAGAAAUCAAAUGGUGUACUCUGCUGCCAUGUUGUUUUAGUCGUAAUUCAUUAAUAUAUUUUUUUUAUUAAAUCUAGCAUGUGUAUAUUUUAUAUAUUUGUAUUGAAAGCAGUACUAUUAUUUAAGAAUUUGUUUGUUUUUAGUCUUUGAUUUUUUUUGGCAUGGAAUUUACUUUAUGCCAUUUGACCACCCCGUGGACCGAUAUGGGUUAAAACUUGGUAUUCAGACCUCUUUUUUCAAAAGAAAAAUCUACAUUUGCUACUCUUGAUCAAGGUUUACAUGUUCGAUUAUACUUGGGUAAUGAAAAUCAACUAGAAGAGCUUUCCUAACUUGUAAAGCCAUUUUGGCUCAAGAUGAAUUGGCUAGGUGUGUGAGAAAAUAUGUAUGAUACUGAACUCAAAUUAUGUUCACUUGGUUUGAUAAAUGUUAUAUUUCAGGAAUUGUUCAAAACUCUGUCUUUGAUUGAAAUUUGUGAUAUAAUGGCAAAUAAGUUGAAUAGUAAAUAAUUGUUUAAAGACUGCUACAAGAAUUCACACUUUUUUCAGUGCUACAUGUACAAAUGUUAAUAUUUCUUUGUAUCAAAAACUGAUCAGUGAACACUGCAGGUUUCCAUGAAUUCCAUCCAAAAUGAACUACUAGUAUUAGUAUAUGACGUUUAUUAUUUGACUAGUAUAAGGCAACGACUUGUAAUCUGGCUACGGUGCUGUUUUCAAGUUGGGCAUCCCUGAUAUUGGGAGCAAAUUUAUACUACAUAUUGACUGUUGACUCUUGGUUCAAUGAUUAAUGUAUUGAUGGCAGACUGCUGUCUUCAAGUUUGAAGACAGCUCUAGUUGUUUUUCUGCAACUCAAUUUGUUGUCAAUUACUGGAAUCUCAGUAAUGGAUGUGUAAUAUGAAAAACAAUCUGUGGUCAUGAUCCAGUGUACAUGGUGAAGAUCUGCCCAAAUGGUAUAACUGUAAUGCUUGAGUGAAUUAUCAUUUAGAAUUACCCCAGCCAUGUCCGCGCCCAUGAAUUUCUAGACUAUUAUUUAACCUGCAUGUAGUCAAUUCAUUGUAGUGAUUAUAUCUAAAGUGGUUGUUUUCUCAAAUUUGUCGAUAUUACUGUUAUUUUGAUAUUUUUUAUUUCUUAUUUUGUAUUAUCUCAUUUUAUGAAUUAAUAUAUAUAUUUUUAUCAUAAUUGAUUUGUAGUACAUGAAGGGUUGUAAACUAAAAUUUGAGUUAUCCUGGAUAAUUCCAGCAGAAUCAAUUUGUUGUCAACCAAUAUAAUUUUCCAAUGAUACUCUACAUGUACAUUGGCCAUGUCUGCAUAAUAGGCUUCAUGUAUGCUGCCAGGAGAGAAGAUAAUCUGUAAUUUCACGUACAUUUUGGCAUUCAUGUGAUUUCUUAUCACUACUUCAUGUUUUGAAGUGUUUGUCAUGUUAUUUUCAUUUGUAAUCUACAACCACUUCAAGUAAAGUAGGAACAUGUAUAUGCAGAGAUAUGUUUUUAUGAAAAGAAAGUUAAUCAAAUUUGAAAUACGCAGCUUGUGGUUUACAUGUAUUUGAUCAAUACGUUUCAUUUUAUUAUUAUCAAUUUUUGUGUAAUGUUAAUUCAGAAUACUUCUUAAAUCUUGUAUUGGUACAUGAAUUUAAUAUGUCCUAAGCAAUCUACACAAUAUAUACUAUUUAGUUUAGACGCUAUAAAUUUAGAAGAAUGCUUGCCUUUUAUAUUUUCCAAAGAAUCUGUUGUUGGUUCACAUGGUAUUUUUAUUCUAUUUUGACGUGUCGUAAACACUUUCAAAAAGUGUACAUUAACUAUAAGAUGUUGACGAUGCUUACUUUAUAUAUAUAUAUUUGUUUGUACAUCCUAUAUUUCAUUUUAAGUAAGAAUCCUUGCUUUUUCUUAAUUUAUGUUGUGAACAUUGCCAGAUAUAUUUUAAAGAAAAUAAAAACGCUCAAUAGUAGAAGGUGUGUAAUGUAUUCAUGCAGGUGUGAUAUAUUUAUCUUACCGGAACAAAAAUUAAAUUUAUGUAUAAACUUGGGAUUUAAAUUCCAUCUUCCAAUUUAGAUGUGCUAACAAUGCGAUAUAUUAAUAGUUAAAUAUUAUUACUGACAACAUGAUGUAUUUAGAACAAUAUUCCAUUUAUUAAAUAAUAAUGUUUAAAAAAGAA